GUGGGGAAUCUUCCGCAAUGGACGAAAGUCUGACGGAGCAACGCCGCGUGAGUGAAGAAGGUUUUCGGAUCGUAAAGCUCUUUCGUUAGGGACGAACGUGCUCUUUGUGAAUAAUGAGGAGUAAUGACGGUACCUAAAUAAGAAGCCACGGCUAACUACGUGCCAGCAGCCGCGGUAAUACGUAGGUGGCAAGCGUUGUCCGGAAUUAUUGGGCGUAAAGCGCGCGCAGGCGGGAUAUCAAGUCUGUCUUAAAAGUGCGAGGCUCAACCUCGUGAGGGGACAGAAACUGUUAUUCUUGAGUGUCGGAGAGGAAAGUGGAAUUCCAAGUGUAGCGGUGAAAUGCGUAGAGAUUUGGAAGAACACCAGUGGCGAAGGCGACUUUCUGGACGAUGUCUGACGCUGAGGCGCGAAAGCUAGGGGAGCGAACGGGAUUAGAUACCCUAGUAGUCC
Molecule: ribosomal RNA, 450 nt
Filed under: uncultured bacterium
Lineage: Bacteria
Description: partial 16S ribosomal RNA
Rfam family: Bacterial small subunit ribosomal RNA
Source: RNAcentral